ACUUGUGUAGCUCAGUUGGUAAAACACAAGGCUUUUAACCUUGUGGUUGCGCGGGUUCAAGCCCCACGAUGAGCA
This 75-nucleotide transfer RNA is filed under the name Zea mays. It matches the Rfam family "tRNA". Rfam says of the family: Transfer RNA (tRNA) molecules are approximately 80 nucleotides in length. Their secondary structure includes four short double-helical elements and three loops (D, anti-codon, and T loops). Further hydrogen bonds mediate the characteristic L-shaped molecular structure. tRNAs have two regions of fundamental functional importance: the anti-codon, which is responsible for specific mRNA codon recognition, and the 3' end, to which the tRNAs corresponding amino acid is attached (by aminoacyl-tRNA synthetases). tRNAs cope with the degeneracy of the genetic code in two manners: having more than one tRNA (with a specific anti-codon) for a particular amino acid; and 'wobble' base-pairing, i.e. permitting non-standard base-pairing at the 3rd anti-codon position. Lineage: Eukaryota; Viridiplantae; Streptophyta; Magnoliopsida; Poales; Poaceae. The record is from Rfam by way of RNAcentral.